This 76-nucleotide transfer RNA is filed under the name Ruminiclostridium sp. RNAcentral's name for it is "tRNA-Asn". It matches the Rfam family "tRNA". Rfam says of the family: Transfer RNA (tRNA) molecules are approximately 80 nucleotides in length. Their secondary structure includes four short double-helical elements and three loops (D, anti-codon, and T loops). Further hydrogen bonds mediate the characteristic L-shaped molecular structure. tRNAs have two regions of fundamental functional importance: the anti-codon, which is responsible for specific mRNA codon recognition, and the 3' end, to which the tRNAs corresponding amino acid is attached (by aminoacyl-tRNA synthetases). tRNAs cope with the degeneracy of the genetic code in two manners: having more than one tRNA (with a specific anti-codon) for a particular amino acid; and 'wobble' base-pairing, i.e. permitting non-standard base-pairing at the 3rd anti-codon position. Lineage: Bacteria; Bacillati; Bacillota; Clostridia; Eubacteriales; Oscillospiraceae. The record is from RNAcentral.
UCCUCAAUAGCUCAGUCGGUAGAGCAUACGGCUGUUAACCGCAGGGUCGUUGGUUCGAGUCCAACUUGGGGAGCCA